AAAGGUGCCACAGGAUCUCUGUUGCUUUUUACAGAUCCAGACUAACAUGGCUACCCCUCUGAUACUUAAUGAAAGAUGAUGUCACGUGAUGAAACCUCCAGGAAUAUGUCCAACCAAAACCGGCAACCCUACGUUGGACAUAGGCUCUGGGACAGAUCUUUAAAGGCCCUUAGGCAUCAGAGUCCAACUGGAAACACCAGUCCCAGGACGGAAGAGCACUUGGGGAUGGAGGGACACGGCCUCUUUGCUGGGACCCUGCGUCCAAAGACAGAGGAGACGAAAAAUUCCUCACACAGACCCAGCAGGCGGCUCCAGGAGCUUGAAUUACAGGUGGGAGGCUCAGACAGCCUGUGGUGAGGGGGAUUUGGGCACUGGGAACAUCAGCAGUUGGGGACGCGCGGU
This is a long non-coding RNA of Gopherus agassizii (Agassiz's desert tortoise), 402 nucleotides long. NCBI's taxonomy places the organism in Eukaryota, Metazoa, Chordata, Testudines, Testudinidae. The record is from Ensembl.